RNAcentral lists this ribosomal RNA (253 nucleotides) under uncultured bacterium. Its description in RNAcentral is "partial 16S ribosomal RNA". It matches the Rfam family "Bacterial small subunit ribosomal RNA", at positions 524 to 776 of the family's 1533-position model. The record is from RNAcentral.
UACGUAGGGGGCAAGCGUUGUCCGGAAUUAUUGGGCGUAAAGCGCACGUAGGCGACUUUGUAAGUUAGAGGUGAAAGCCCAGGGCUUAACCCUGGAAUUGCCUUUAAGACUGCAUCGCUAGAAUUGUGGAGAGGUGAGUGGAAUUCCGAGUGUAGAGGUGAAAUUCGUAGAUAUUCGGAAGAACACCAGUGGCGAAGGCGACUCACUGGACACAUAUUGACGCUGAGGUGCGAAAGCGUGGGGAGCAAACAGG